This 68-nucleotide transfer RNA is filed under the name Unio pictorum (painter's mussel). RNAcentral's name for it is "tRNA-Ile". Lineage: Eukaryota; Metazoa; Mollusca; Bivalvia; Unionida; Unionidae. The record is from RNAcentral.
AGCUGUCACGCCGGUAUGAACGGGUUACUUUGAUGAGGUAAAAAAUGAGAUAUUUCUCUGACAUCUUC